CUAAGCUUUACAUAUGGAUAGCCAACCAUGGAGAGGAAGUGUGCAGGCUUAGAGAAGGAAUAGAUUUCAUACCAGACCUCGUCGUUCUCGUCCCGCUCGAUCGAGAAGCGCUCCUCCCCAGCCUAUUCACGACAUAUGCAGCAAAAGAAAAUAACAAAUGUUUUCGUCAUGGCCAUCAGCAACAUAAGAACAUUUUUUAUCUAGUUUUUCGAAGGGAUAGCAUAUGCUUAUUGACUGUUGCUCACCCUUCCUCUAUAUAUACACAACAUAAUUCUGGAAAGACAGGCUCUUCAUCUUUUUGCAAGCAAUUUAUUUGCAUACUCUGUGAUGAUUCUAACUAGUGUUAUACUUGUCCAUCCCAAAGAAGCAGAUCUCCAUUAGUAAAGGCCAGAAGAAGUCGUUUCAUAUUGGGAACAGAUAUUAAACUAUUGGGAAUGGUAUACGAAUUAAAGGUGAACUAAGAUCUGAACAUCAGGUUAGGGUCAGAUUGUACAUUAACUUGAUUAGCAUUGCUUAUCCAUCGCCUCACGAAAAGAUUGUAUGUGGAUUUAUGAGCUGUUGCAGUGGAUUGAAGAGGUACAAUAUAAAGGGUAUGUACAAAUAGGAGAGGAAGUAAGCAAAUAGAUGGAUGAUACUGCACUCUCUCUUUCUUCUCGAUAGUAAUAUUGUGGACUUGCGUGCUGUUGCAAUGGAUCGAAGAGGUGAAAUAUAAAGGGUAUGUACAAGAGGGCAGGAAGUAAGCAAACGGAUGGAUGAUACUGCACUCUCUUUCUUCUCGAUAACAAAUAUCCAGCAUUUCAGGUACUAUGAGAAUUCCUAUGAGACACUAAAUGAGGUUUAAACACACACCACAAAUUUGUCUGACAUAAUAUUCUUAUUCUACGACUAUUACCGUAUUCUUUAUGAAAUCUGAUCAACAACACUAGUUAAGCUAGUUAGCCUGACAUUCUGUAAGUUGCUUGCUGAGUUCUCUUUAUUGUGAUCUUUCACCUAAAACUGAUAAUUGAUAAGGUUAAUGCAGAUUUUGGUUUGUUCGAUCGUAAAACCAAUUUGGAGCUAACCGAGUUCCUAUUUUGCGCUUGCCUCUGACAAACUUUGAGAGAAUGCCAAAUCCUCCUUGUCUCUUUGGGUGCUAACCCUAUAGAAUUGUGACAGGGACGCGCCCGACAAAGUCCCUCUGAUGCUUAAGUUAAUCUCAGUUAUGAGAUAUUGACAAAGAGCCGAACCCUUAAGGGGUGAAUGCACAAAAGCCUUAGAAUUUCAAUAUGUUGAGGUAUGCAUCUAAAGAGGCCUUUUAUAGUGUGGCUUUAGAAUCGUUAUGCUUGAAAACAUGUAUUGAUGUCGGAGACGAAUACAUGCUUCUCCUGGUUCUGGCGAAAUCAUGUCGCGCCAGAUCCGAGGAACAUGUAACAAUUGUGACAUGGUUUAUAAGCAUGGGGGACGACUCCAUACCAACCACACGAUGUCGAAAUGUUGGACACAUGGUGCUGCGCCAUCGACUAUGUGGCAAAGAGGUGUUGGCCACAUAAUGCCAGGGUAUCGGCUACAUGGCGAGGUGUUGGCCAUGUAACGUCAGGAUGUCGACUACGUGAUGAGGAGGUGUCGACCACCCAAUGCUAGAGUGUUGAUUAUGUGACGAGGUGUUAGCCACAUAAUGCUAGAGUAUCGGUUAUAUGGCGAUGAGGUGUCAGCCAGAUCAUCAUUCCCUAUCAUAUAGAAAUAUGAUAAAUCACAGUUCAUUUGUUUCCUAUCUCAACCAAGAAUCUUUUGGCUCAAGUGAUCCACAUAUAAUUAAUUGAAUGUAAAUCCAAACCAACGUGAACAAUGAUUACCCCUCCCUCUCCUUUCAAAAGACAAAAAAUCCUUAAAAAGGGAUAAACAUUAUUUCACUAUUCCAGUCUCCCAACUGGUGUAUACCUCAAUCCAAAAGGGCAUGAAUAUUUCAAGUGACAUGGUCAAGCUAAUGUUCCAAUAUUGAAAUAUUUUCUUAUCACAUUUAACGCAAGUGGUAAUUCAUGCUAGAAUCAAAGAUCACUAGUGCAGAAUAGUCUAGAAAGAUAUAUCGACAUUUAGAACUCAUUAAAAAAAAGUAAAUUUGACAUAAAAUAUAUUAUAAAUAGAAUUCAGUCAUAGAAAGAAAAAACUGCUUUGAGGUCAAAAUCAAACAAGAUCUCAAUCCUAAAGCUAAAAGAAUAGAAGAACAGUGAAAAUCUAGAAAAAUGACAAGCUCUUUAACAUUAACAAAGACUUAUAUAAAAUUAUCAUCUUUUGUAGUCGUUUGGCAGCACUAAACAUUCUAACUAUUCACUCAUGUGGAUUCUAUCUAUCAUCUACUUCCAGAUUUCCAUCCCUUGCUCUUUGUUUUUUCUUUCUUGUACAUGCCCAUGAGGGAUGGGUGCCUUAAUCAGUUAAUAUGAAGCAUUAAGCCACAUUUUCUUCUUUUUGAAGUGAUGCAAGAUCCAAUAUUAUGCAGUAGAGUGCCCUUUAACAUCAACCACUUUAAUAGUCUCGAUUUAUGUGCUAAUAAGAUCCAAACAAGGCCUAACAUAUAUAAUGAUGAUCACUGCUGUUAUAGGCUUAGCCAUACAACUAGUUAACCUGAAACAAAACAAGUAGACAGAUAUGUAGAAGUUCACCUAUAAAACCAAAUGAUAGAAAAUAGAAGCCAUUGAUCUAAAGCUUGAUCUUCCAGUGAUGCCAAAUCAUAUCAACUGUUCCCACUAGUCGAACAGGUCCUCUUCGAUGACAGGUAUCAAUCCCAUUGUUCACGAAAUCAAUAGUGUUGAUUCUAGUAUCCUCUCUCUCUCUCAUUCUAAAGGUUAGAGGAUGGUUUCCCACUUUAAGCUCAAACCUAUAUGAUCAUGAUGACAAACUAAACUCUGUAAUGAAUAAUAAGGAUCAUCAUUGAUCAUGCCAAUUAUCAAAUCUUGUCUAUGCCAUACAACAAUCUAAACAUGCCAGAAGCUGAAGCUACACAAAGAUGCAUGAUUUGCCUAAGACAAAGAAUGCCUCCAAAAAAUAUAACCAGCUAUUAUGAAGCUUAUUAUAAUUACUAAUACACAAAUAAUUCGAGUUCAAACAAGGUUCAAUACUGGCAUCACAAGAAUCCUUUGACUAUACUUGAAGUGAAAAGUUCUAGUGAAUUGCUUGAGCUUUACAAUCAAGAUGUCAUAGCCAAUUGAGUGCAUAGGUUUCAGGAGUUAGAGAGAUGCUUUUGCUAAUGCACAAAGUCUUCACCAGGAAACAAUUUCACCUCUCCAUCAUGAUUUAGUGAUAGCAAUUCUCAGAAAGUAAAUACUACAAAGCUCAGUAAAGGGGAAACAGAACAGAAUCAUACCAAGAGGUGGCCUUGGAGAGUGCCACUGCCGAAACCGAAGGAAGCCUUGGUCGGGCCGCGGCCAGAGAUCUCGUCACGCACGUAGGCGAUCCGGAGCGGCA
Molecule: long non-coding RNA, 3438 nt
Filed under: Musa acuminata (dwarf banana)
Lineage: Eukaryota; Viridiplantae; Streptophyta; Magnoliopsida; Zingiberales; Musaceae
Description: long non-coding RNA (MACU_LNC004458)
Source: RNAcentral